Molecule: non-coding RNA, 111 nt
Organism: Danio rerio (zebrafish)
Lineage: Eukaryota; Metazoa; Chordata; Actinopteri; Cypriniformes; Danionidae
Source: Rfam
GCUGGCAGCUAGCUCUCUGCAACUCACAUGGUUGCCCACUAAAGCUAAGCAGGGCUGCGCCUGGUCAGUUCCGGGAUGGGACCACAUGGGAAAGCUAGGUUGCUGCCGGAG